AUGGUGAUCAGCUUCAGUUGCUCGGCAAGUAGAAAAGCGACGUGGAUCUUGGCUUUGUUGUUCAUGAUGAGUCGAGUCCAUGGCCAGUCUACUAGGGGAUUCGUAAGCGUUGAUUGUGGACUGACAAACAGUAGCGCCUACAAUGAUGGUAUCACAAAUAUACGGUUUGAUUCUGACCGUGGAUAUGUCGCUGGCGGUUUGAGCCACACAAUUUUGGCAGAGUACAUGGUUGGUUCAGAUGAGCAACAAAAAACCCUGAGGAGCUUCCCUGACGGUUCACGAAAUUGCUAUACACUGCCAUCCACUUUUGGUAAGAAGUUCCUGUUGAGGGCCACAUUUACUUACGGCAACUACGAUGGGUUGAACAGGACUCUGGAUGGAUCGCCAUUUCUAUUUGGGCUCCAUAUUGGUGUCAAUUUCUGGGAUACGGUGAACUUGACAAAUUGGGAUCCAUCGCUCACAGUCUGGAAGGAGGUGCUCACCGUUGCUCCGGGCAACUCGGUGUCGGUCUGUCUGAUAAACUUCGGUUCAGGGACUCCGUUCAUGUCUGCUCUAGAGCUGAGGCCACUGCUAGAUGCGAUGUACCCUUUUGUGAAUACUUCCGUAUCAGUCGGCUACUUUAGACGAAUCAGAUUUGGUGAAGCCACUGAAUAUAUCACAAGGUAUCCAGUGGACCCUUACGACCGGUUCUGGGAGGGCUGGUCUUUCUCAUACAACACCUACCCCUGGAUCAACCUGAACACUAGCAGUCAAGUAGAGAUUCUCCCGGGCGACGACUACUUCAAUGUGCCGAUGGCCAUCUUCCAGAAGGCCACGACCCUAGACACGAACUACUCCUUCAUCGUGAUUAACGCGUCACUGGGUCCCAAUGUGGUUCCCGAGAGCGUCCGUCUUCUCCCGAUCUUCCACUUUGCUGAAAUCAAUGGUAACAACAUGCAGAGAAGCUUUGACAUCUACAACGCCGAUGAUGUACUACAUCGGGGCUUCUCCCCGUCGCGAUUGCAGGCCAGUAGUUUGUACAACAGUGGGCAGUUCUUGUAUAAUGGCGACGCAGUGUACACCCUGAACAAGGCGCGCGGCUCGAGCCUCCCCCCGCUCAUCAACGCGUUCGAGGUGUACUCACUCCUUCGGAUGGAAAACUUCACCACUGACUCCGAGGAUGGGAGAAUUAUGCAGAUCUCGGGGCCUGGUUCGUUUAGGUGCGAAGAUCUAAGUUGUGAUAUGUUUAAGUGCAAUUAUGAUAAACUAAUGGCUGAGAUCUGUUUAGUCAAUUACAUAAAACAAGUAAAAGCACACUACAAUUUGACAAGAAUAGACUGGAACGGAGAUCCAUGCUCCCCAAGAGAGUAUACCUGGGAAGGUUUGACUUGCGGCUACUCCAGUAGCAACAAGAAUCCGAGGAUUGUCCGAGUAAAUAUGUCUAGCAGCGGACUGGGAGGUGGAUUAGCCAUAUCACUUUUGAACAUGACAUCACUGGAAAAUUUUAAUUUGGCAAAUAACAAGCUCGAGGGACCAAUCCCCAGUUAUAUUCUUCGAAGAUUCCAGGCCGGUCUGCUAGACUUAAGACUAGAAGGCAAUCCCAUAUGCUCAAAAGUAAAAGAUAUGUACUGUUCAAAUAAGAAGAAGCACACCACACCUACCGUGCUCAUCGCAGUGAUAGUUCCAGUGGUAUUGGUAUCCCUCCUAGUAGUGAUGUGCAUACUCUGGAAAUUAUGCCAUAAAGGGAACUCGGGAGACUAUGAGGACUAUGCUACAUAUGAAGAGGAAACUCCCCUACACAUUGAUAUCAGACGGUUCACAUAUGCAGAGCUGAAGCUCAUGACUAAGGACUUCCAAUCAAUCAUUGGAAAAGGAGGUUUCGGUAUUGUUUACCAUGGCAUACUGGAAAAUGGUGAUGAAGUAGCUGUUAAGGUGCUUAUGGAGACAUCAAUAGCAAAGUCAACAGACUUCCUCCCCGAGCUCUAG
Molecule: ribosomal RNA, 1965 nt
Filed under: Triticum aestivum (bread wheat)
Lineage: Eukaryota; Viridiplantae; Streptophyta; Magnoliopsida; Poales; Poaceae
Description: partial small subunit ribosomal RNA
Source: RNAcentral